Molecule: ribosomal RNA, 253 nt
Filed under: uncultured bacterium
Lineage: Bacteria
Description: partial 16S ribosomal RNA
Rfam family: Bacterial small subunit ribosomal RNA
Source: RNAcentral
UACGAAGGGGGCGAGCGUUGUUCGGAUUUACUGGGCGUAAAGGGCGCGCAGGCGGCUCAUUUUGUCAGGCGUGAAAGCCCCGGGCUUAACCUGGGAACUGCGUUUGAUACGGAUGGGCUAGAGUUCGGGAGAGGAGAGUGGAAUUCCCAGUGUAGAGGUGAAAUUCGUAGAUAUCAGGAGGAACACCAAUUGCGAAGGCAGCUCGCUGGGACGUUACUGACGCUGAGACGCGAAAGCGUGGGGAGCAAACAGG